RNAcentral lists this ribosomal RNA (250 nucleotides) under uncultured bacterium. Its description in RNAcentral is "partial 16S ribosomal RNA". It matches the Rfam family "Bacterial small subunit ribosomal RNA", at positions 524 to 776 of the family's 1533-position model. The record is from RNAcentral.
UACAGAGGAUGCAAGCGUUAUCCGGAAUGAUUGGGCGUAAAGCGUCUGUAGGUGGCUUUUAAGUCCGCCGUCAAAUCCCAGGGCUCAACUCUGGACAGGCGGUGGAAACUACCAAGCUGGAGUACGGUAGGGGCAGAGGGAAUUCCGGUGGAGCGGUGAAAUGCGUAGAGAUCGGAAAGAACACCAACGGCGAAGCACUCUGCUGGGCCGACACUGACACUGAGAGACGAAAGCUAGGGGAGCGAAUGGG